This is a long non-coding RNA of Mauremys reevesii (Reeves's turtle), 1281 nucleotides long. RefSeq lists it as uncharacterized. The record is from RefSeq and is a predicted model, not a curated record. Lineage: Eukaryota; Metazoa; Chordata; Testudines; Geoemydidae. The transcript has 3 exons.
UGGCCCGCAGUGACACAUAAGCUUAAUUCAGUAAAAUCUGCCAAAGAUAUUGCAGGAAAUUGCCACGUCUACCACAGGGAGAAAGAGAGACAUGCCAUGCAAGACUCUCCAGCCAACAUCAGAUCCAACUUCAGUAUCAGGGCCAGGGAAAUGGACCCUGGGCAUUUAGCAGAGCUAGAUUGGUCUAGGGCAGUGGUCCCCAACCUUUUCGUCUGGCGGGUGCCAGACGAAGGACUGUGGUGACGGUCGAGGUGAUGCCUCUCGAUGACGUCGCUUGUCGGUGGCAAGCGGCAUCAUCGAGAGGCGUUGCCGUCGAAAUGCCGCCGAAUUUCGGUGGUAUUUCUGCGGAUGCUUGACUGCGGGCCAGGACAUGGGCACAUUUAGAUGCCCCCGCAGGUGCUAUGGCGCCCACGGGCACCGUACUGGGGACCCCUGGUCCAAGGAGUUGCUGACUCAAGAGGGAUUCAGCUCAUCUACCUCCCCAGCUGGCAGUGCCCUGACAACAAUAAGAACACGGGAGUCGGUGGCAACUUUCAUCCAGGGAGUCCUAGGUCCCAGUGCCCAACCCUGCCGUCGGAGAAUCUCAGAACAAAAGGAGGAUGCUAAGUGAGUGCAGGGAAGCAGAGCAGCAGGGUGAGAAACCAGCCCUGAGAACCAGCUGUGUGGAGGAUCAAGCCAAUCAGGUGAUGGAAGGAGAGUUCAGAUGUUAGUCAUGAGGGGGUCAGAGUGAUCCCCAAAGAUCCUGCGACACUGGGACCCCCAGUUUUCCCCGCCUCUGACAGGAGGAAUCCCACUCUGAUGCUUCCCAGAGUACCCAGAGCUGUGAGGCACCUCGCCACCACCUGCCCUUAGUGGGAAGACUCCUGGUCUGUGUCUGCUGGGGGUCAGUUCCCUGACCCCACCAGCUACUGGCAACACGAGUGCUCCCCUCUCAGCCCAGCUAGGCUCUGCUGUCUCUCUGCAGGUCAGCAACAGGAACACUCCAACUGUUGAGCCCCACCGUGCAUCCCCCAGGAGUGUCCAGCCCCUGCUUCGCUGGACUCUCACAGCAUUCACAGACCCACUGCUCCCCAUGGAAUAGAGCGCACCAGCAUUCACAGACCCACUGCUCCCCACCGAAUAGAGCACACCAGCUUGCCAGUUUCACCUCAGGAUCACUGCUCCACUUACACACAGCACUCAAAUGAGUCAGAUUAUUUAACAAAGAACAGAGAUCUGAGAAGGAGCAAAGAUAAUUCAUGGAUAUGAAUAGUUACAGCUACAAUAAAAUCAUAACACAUU